This 253-nucleotide ribosomal RNA is filed under the name uncultured bacterium. Its description in RNAcentral is "partial 16S ribosomal RNA". It matches the Rfam family "Bacterial small subunit ribosomal RNA", at positions 524 to 776 of the family's 1533-position model. The record is from RNAcentral.
UACGUAGGGGGCAAGCGUUGUCCGGAAUCAUUGGGCGUAAAGCGCGCGUAGGCGGCCCGGUAAGUCCGCUGUAAAAGUCCAGGGCUCAACCCUGGAAAGCCGGUGGAUACUGUCGGGCUAGAGUCCGGAAGAGGCGAGUGGAAUUCCUGGUGUAGCGGUGGAAUGCGCAGAUAUCAGGAGGAACACCGAUGGCGAAGGCAGCUCGCUGGGACGGUACUGACACUGAGGCACGAAAGCGUGGGGAGCAAACAGG